GCCGAUUUGGUCCUAGUCCCUAUCUUAACUUUUUUAAAACUGCCACAUGCAAGCUGAACUAACAAACCAGUGAAGUAUAACCCGCUACCCUUCUCCUCCCUAUAAAGAAAGAAUCAGUAGCGUACUAGAAGCAUCAGGCACAACACCACCGGCCUAAGACGCCAAGUAAAUACUACCACAUCUGCAGUGCUAAACCUUAGACAAUUAGAGACAUCUAGAUCUAGUUAAGAAAAAUUAGGGGGUAAAGUACGUGCCAGCCACCGCGGUUAUACGUACACCCUAAAGCUAAAAACUAACGGUAAAAAGAGCGACCAGGAGACCUUACACUUUGAUUAUAGUCUCAACCAAGCGGUAAAAAGCUAAUCUUGAGAAAAUUUCCUAGAAUCAAUAUAGUGUUUUAUUUGCCUCGCGAAAGCUAAGGCCUAAACCAGGAUUAGAUACCCUGUUAUACUUAGCCGUAAACCAAUAAAAUCACCAGAGAACUACAAGCCACACGCUUAAAACUCAAAGGACUUGGCGGUUUCCCAAACCUACCUGGAGGAGCUUGCCGUUGAAUCGAUAACCCACGAUACACCUCACCAGCCCUAGUAAAUUACAGCUUGUAUACCAUCGUCGUAAGCCUACUUCUCAAGAAAGUUCACACAAAGACACCCAGUCUUAACGUCAGAUCAAGGUGCAGCUUAUGGGUUGGGAACUGGUGAGCUACAAAGUCACUCCAACAGCCUGUGAAAAGGGGAAUGAAAACUUCCUCUUGAAACUGGAUUCAGCAGUAAGUAUUAUAAGAAAGUAAUACUGAAGUCAGCUCUGGGAUGCGUACACAUCGCCCGUCACUCUCGCCUAGCAGAACAGCUAUAGCAAGGGGAGAAAAGUCGUAACACAGUAGACGUAUCGGAAGAUGCGCCUGGAAAAC
RNAcentral lists this non-coding RNA (910 nucleotides) under Eucidaris tribuloides. RNAcentral describes it as "12S ribosomal RNA". It matches the Rfam family "Bacterial small subunit ribosomal RNA". The record is from RNAcentral. Lineage: Eukaryota; Metazoa; Echinodermata; Echinoidea; Cidaroida; Cidaridae.